RNAcentral lists this ribosomal RNA (392 nucleotides) under uncultured bacterium. RNAcentral's name for it is "partial 16S ribosomal RNA". It matches the Rfam family "Bacterial small subunit ribosomal RNA", at positions 523 to 917 of the family's 1533-position model. The record is from RNAcentral.
AUACGGAGGAUGCGAGCGUUAUCCGGAUUUAUUGGGUUUAAAGGAUGCGUAGGCGGUUUGAUAAGUCAGCGGUGAAAUAUUUCAGCUUAACUGGAAGGGUGCCGUUGAUACUGUCGAGCUUGAAUUUAGUUGCUGUGGGUGGAAUGUGUGGUGUAGCGGUGAAAUGCAUAGAUAUCACACAGAAUAUCGAUUGCGAAGGCAGCUCACAAAGCUAAUAUUGACGCUGAUGCACGAAAGUGUGGGGAUCAAACAGGAUUAGAUACCCUGGUAGUCCACACUGUAAACGAUGAUAACUCGCUGUCGGCGAUACAUAGUCGGUGGCCAAGCGAAAGCGAUAAGUUAUCCACCUGGGGAGUACGACCGCAAGGUUGAAACUCAAAUGAAUUGACGGG